RNAcentral lists this ribosomal RNA (1585 nucleotides) under Triticum aestivum (bread wheat). RNAcentral's name for it is "partial small subunit ribosomal RNA". The record is from RNAcentral. Lineage: Eukaryota; Viridiplantae; Streptophyta; Magnoliopsida; Poales; Poaceae.
GGGCUCGGUCUGCGGGUCUGCUGGUCUGGAUCGGUGCGCUGCACUCAAGGUCUGGAGGUCCCUCGGCUCCGUCGGCGGCGGCGGCCGGCCACUGAGGGGAGGUCAGGGGACGAGCCGACGAGGGGAGGGGACUGAAGCCGCGAGGGUAGGUCAGGGGACGUCCGACGUCGGGACGAGCGGACGAGCCGACGCGAGGAGCGGACCGAGCGGACGAGACGAAGAGGUCGGCCCGCGCCCCGCGGCGGCGCGGCCGAGACGAGGACGGGACGAGGUGGGAGGUCAGGACGGCCGGAGAGGGCGGAGGGCCAGAGGGGACCCGUUGACGACGGGGCUGACGUCGGCUCUUAAUUUUCUACUUCUAUAAAAUAAGUAGCCACCGGCGUUACCUUCACAGAUUUAAAAACCACGUUAACUCGGUAUAAACUCUAUAAGAAAACUCCAUCGAUAUCGGACUACCUGCAAUUCAAAAAGAGAGCGCUGCUUAAAAAAAAAAACCCGGGCCCCGAACGAGGUUAGGACCGAGGCGGUGACUCAGGGUCGAUACAGGCUGGAAAGAGUAAGGGAAGUGAGAGUAGUCGAGGAGGAGAGCCAAACUAAUCGGAGGGGUAGACAGGUGUGACGGUCAGGGACCAAAGAUGUCCAAACACUCUGAAGUUCCAAAUGUUCGAUCACACCGAAAUCAACUCACUCACCUCUGUCCAGUCCUUAGUGGAGGGAUAAGUCGAUCCGAUGUGGUAGAACUCUAAGUUGGACUUGGUACAAGGAACUUUUCUGUUCUCAUUUGCCCUUUUGAAUGAAACCCAAGUAUACUACGUCUGGUUCUUAUUUGCCACGUCUAAACCGAUCGUCGUUUUCUACUUACUUAUAUCACUACCUUUCGGUUUAAAUUUCACCAUGACUAGAACCACAGCUAAGGAUGGACUCGGUAGUCUGUGUUGAAGCCAACCAGUAUCCAAAGAACCGAGAAAUCCGACUCCAAAAGAAAGAACCCGUUGACUCCGUCUUCUUGGACCAUUUAACCAACUCGUCACGAUACUCCUACUUGUGUCCUACGACCACAUGUUCAAGUACUCGUAACCCUCGGGAUUCUGUGUGGAGAAGUUUUCAUAUUUAACGAGGGAAGGCACCUACUGUUCCUAUUUUUAGCUGUUCCUACUUCUAACGAUAACCGCGCCGAUUCCCUGAAAGAACUACGAUAGAGCGGUCACUAGAUGUUCCGGAUGUUGCAGAACGAGCUGAGCGCGCCCGCCCGAUAUUGCAGUCAGACUCGGAGGUGCUCGAGCUACGGGAGCCCCUUUCAUCUCGUGAGAUGUGCGAACGGCUACGUCACCAGCAAAUCCAACUGAGCUGCUGAUCCAUCGUCGUCCUCGCCUACACUUUUUCGCCACCAGUUGAACUGGACGAUUCACACGUAAACGAAAACUUCGUGAACAGAAGCAUUAGUCAGUUAAUCCGAUGUUUUGACCUGACGAUGAAGAGACAAGUAUAUUCGAAUAGGUAUACAUACUACGAGAGUGGAUUACAUAAAACACUUACACGUGACGGUCAUAACGUAAAGAUGACGACAUAAAAUAAAAGGGUUAGU